Molecule: ribosomal RNA, 1064 nt
Filed under: Bacillus subtilis
Lineage: Bacteria; Bacillati; Bacillota; Bacilli; Caryophanales; Bacillaceae
Description: bacterial SSU rRNA
Rfam family: Bacterial small subunit ribosomal RNA
Source: RNAcentral
CGGCCACACUGGGACUGAGACACGGCCCAGACUCCUACGGGAGGCAGCAGUAGGGAAUCUUCCGCAAUGGACGAAAGUCUGACGGAGCAACGCCGCGUGAGUGAUGAAGGUUUUCGGAUCGUAAAGCUCUGUUGUUAGGGAAGAACAAGUACCGUUCGAAUAGGGCGGUACCUUGACGGUACCUAACCAGAAAGCCACGGCUAACUACGUGCCAGCAGCCGCGGUAAUACGUAGGUGGCAAGCGUUGUCCGGAAUUAUUGGGCGUAAAGGGCUCGCAGGCGGUUUCUUAAGUCUGAUGUGAAAGCCCCCGGCUCAACCGGGGAGGGUCAUUGGAAACUGGGGAACUUGAGUGCAGAAGAGGAGAGUGGAAUUCCACGUGUAGCGGUGAAAUGCGUAGAGAUGUGGAGGAACACCAGUGGCGAAGGCGACUCUCUGGUCUGUAACUGACGCUGAGGAGCGAAAGCGUGGGGAGCGAACAGGAUUAGAUACCCUGGUAGUCCACGCCGUAAACGAUGAGUGCUAAGUGUUAGGGGGUUUCCGCCCCUUAGUGCUGCAGCUAACGCAUUAAGCACUCCGCCUGGGGAGUACGGUCGCAAGACUGAAACUCAAAGGAAUUGACGGGGGCCCGCACAAGCGGUGGAGCAUGUGGUUUAAUUCGAAGCAACGCGAAGAACCUUACCAGGUCUUGACAUCCUCUGACAAUCCUAGAGAUAGGACGUCCCCUUCGGGGGCAGAGUGACAGGUGGUGCAUGGUUGUCGUCAGCUCGUGUCGUGAGAUGUUGGGUUAAGUCCCGCAACGAGCGCAACCCUUGAUCUUAGUUGCCAGCAUUCAGUUGGGCACUCUAAGGUGACUGCCGGUGACAAACCGGAGGAAGGUGGGGAUGACGUCAAAUCAUCAUGCCCCUUAUGACCUGGGCUACACACGUGCUACAAUGGACAGAACAAAGGGCAGCGAAACCCGCGAGGUUAAGCCAAUCCCACAAUCUGUUCUCAGUUCGGAUCGCAGUCUGCAACUCGACUGCGUGAAGCUGGAAUCGCUAGUAAUCGCGGAUCAGCAUGGCGCG